This 766-nucleotide ribosomal RNA is filed under the name Halomonas sp. JSM 111034. RNAcentral describes it as "bacterial SSU rRNA". It matches the Rfam family "Bacterial small subunit ribosomal RNA", at positions 714 to 1481 of the family's 1533-position model. The record is from RNAcentral. Lineage: Bacteria; Pseudomonadati; Pseudomonadota; Gammaproteobacteria; Oceanospirillales; Halomonadaceae.
GGCGAAGGCGGCCUUCUGGACUGACACUGACACUGAGGUGCGAAAGCGUGGGUAGCAAACAGGAUUAGAUACCCUGGUAGUCCACGCCGUAAACGAUGUCGACCAGCCGUUGGGUGCCUAGCGCACUUUGUGGCGAAGUUAACGCGAUAAGUCGACCGCCUGGGGAGUACGGCCGCAAGGUUAAAACUCAAAUGAAUUGACGGGGGCCCGCACAAGCGGUGGAGCAUGUGGUUUAAUUCGAUGCAACGCGAAGAACCUUACCUACUCUUGACAUCCUGCGAAUUCGGUAGAGAUACCUUAGUGCCUUCGGGAACGCAGAGACAGGUGCUGCAUGGCUGUCGUCAGCUCGUGUUGUGAAAUGUUGGGUUAAGUCCCGUAACGAGCGCAACCCUUGUCCUUAUUUGCCAGCGCGUAAUGGCGGGAACUCUAAGGAGACUGCCGGUGACAAACCGGAGGAAGGUGGGGACGACGUCAAGUCAUCAUGGCCCUUACGAGUAGGGCUACACACGUGCUACAAUGGUCGGUACAAAGGGUUGCCAACUCGCGAGAGUGAGCCAAUCCCGAAAAGCCGAUCUCAGUCCGGAUCGGAGUCUGCAACUCGACUCCGUGAAGUCGGAAUCGCUAGUAAUCGUAGAUCAGAAUGCUACGGUGAAUACGUUCCCGGGCCUUGUACACACCGCCCGUCACACCAUGGGAGUGGACUGCACCAGAAGUGGUUAGCCUAACGCAAGAGGGCGAUCACCACGGUGUGGUUCAUGACUGGGGU